UCCUUAGAUGUUCUGGGCCGCACGCGCGCUACACUGUUCGACGCAGCGAGUCUUAACCUUGACCGAAAGGUUUGGGUAAUCUUCAGCAAAGUCGAACGUGAUGGGGAUCGAUCAUUGCAAUUAUUGAUCGUGAACGAGGAAUUCCUAGUAAGUGCAAGUCAUCAGCUUGCGCUGAUUACGUCCCUGCCCUUUGUACACACCGCCCGUCGCUACUACCGAUUGAAUGGUUUAGUGAGAUCUCUGGAUUGACGCUGGCUAGGGGGCGACCCUUGGCCAGACUGCUCGAGAAACUGCUCAAACUUGAUCAUUUAGAGGAAGUAAAAGUCGUAACA
RNAcentral lists this ribosomal RNA (332 nucleotides) under uncultured eukaryote. RNAcentral's name for it is "partial 18S ribosomal RNA". It matches the Rfam family "Eukaryotic small subunit ribosomal RNA", at positions 1470 to 1796 of the family's 1831-position model. The record is from RNAcentral.